Molecule: unclassified non-coding RNA, 329 nt
Filed under: soil metagenome
Description: partial contains 5.8S ribosomal RNA, internal transcribed spacer 2, and large subunit ribosomal RNA
Rfam family: 5.8S ribosomal RNA (bases 1-120)
Source: RNAcentral
GAUGAAGAACGUAGUGAAAUGCGAUAAUUAAUGUGAAUUGCAGAAUUUAGUGAAUCAUCGAAUCUUUGAACGCACAUUGCGCCCCUUGGUAUUCCGGGGAGCAUGCCUGUUCGAGCGUCAUUACAACCCUCAAGCUCUGCUUGGUGUUGGGCCCCGCCGCCCCGGCGGGCCCUAAAGUCAGUGGCGGUGCCGUCCGGCUCCGAGCGUAGUAAUUUUUCUCGCUUUGGAGGCCCGGGCGCGUGCUUGCCAUCAACCCCCAAUUUUUUUCAGGUUGACCUCGGAUCAGGUAGGGAUACCCGCUGAACUUAAGCAUAUCAAUAAGCGGAGGA